UGACCUGCAGAAUGCUUAACUGGUGCAGACCCUUGAACUUCGGUUUGGGUGGCGGACGGGUGAGUAACGCGUAAAGAACUACCCUCACAGCUAGGGACAACAUUUGGAAACGAAUGCUAAUACCUGAUAUUAUUAUUUUAUGGCAUCAUAGGAUAAUGAAAGCUAUAAGCGAUGCGAGAGAGCUUUGCGUCCCAUUAGCUAGUUGGAGAGGUAACGGCUCACCAAGGCGAUGAUGGGUAGCCGGCCUGAGAGGGUGAACGGCCACAAGGGGACUGAGACACGGCCCUUACUCCUACGGGAUGCAGCAGUGGGAAAUAUUGACCAAUGGACCAAGAGUCUGAUCCAGCAAUUCUGUGUGCACGAUGAAGUUUUUCGGAAUGUAAAGUGCUUUCAGUUGGGAAGAAAAGAAUGACGGUACCAACAGAAGAAGUGACGGCUAAAUACGUGCCAGCAGCCGCGGUAAU
This 464-nucleotide ribosomal RNA is filed under the name uncultured bacterium. Its description in RNAcentral is "bacterial SSU rRNA". It matches the Rfam family "Bacterial small subunit ribosomal RNA", at positions 36 to 524 of the family's 1533-position model. The record is from RNAcentral.